Molecule: long non-coding RNA, 332 nt
Organism: Gossypium arboreum
Lineage: Eukaryota; Viridiplantae; Streptophyta; Magnoliopsida; Malvales; Malvaceae
Exons: 3
Source: RefSeq, a predicted model, not a curated record
AUCAUAAAAUAAUAAGCCAUGCUCAUUCUAUUCUUUUUAACCGAAACUAAAACAAAGAAAAAGAAAGAAAGCCAAGCUAGGUUCGACAUAUAUUCAAGCUCAAUCAAGGGAAAAAUGAAAGUUGUCGACUAGUCGUCCCAUUCCGUUUUACAUCAUCUGAGUGUACAAAAAGGGAGGAGGACUAGGUGGGUCAAGAAGGAGAUAAGGGCAAUGCUAUGGAGGCCGAUUCACCUAAGGAGGUCGAGAGUUGGAACUAGGAUAAGAGGACAGGCUGAGAGGGAAAUUGUAACAGCCCGUUUUUAAGUCAAAUCGGAAUAGUAAUUUCAGAACAA